GAGUUGGCAUUUAGAUUUAAUUAUACAGCAUUGAAUGUUUUGACAAUGUAGAUUUUUUAAAGUUUACCUAUUUUAAAUUGUACCGUUACCUAAUACUCCCAUGCAGGAUUAUAAGAGUGAGGCACGGUGACUGAGUGGUAAAGCGCUUGGCAUCUGAACUGGAGGGUCAAGGGUUUGAAUCCUGGUGAAGAUGGAUUUUUUAAUUUCAGGAUCUUUAGGGCACCUCUAGGUCCGCCCAGCUGUAAUAGGUACUCAACAUUAGUUAGGGAAAAGUAAAGGUGCUGGCCACAUGACACCUUUGUUAACUGAAACAUCAUCUGCCCUAUAGAGUACAGUUUGAAAGGGGAACUUUCAUUUUUUUUUAAGGAUUACGAGAUGGUAGUAUAGAUGCAAGUAUAUCUUAGUUACACCUGUCACUAAAUUGUUUAUGUCAAACACUAUGGCAUGAAAGAAACAAAAUCAAUUGUUUGAUGGUUGUAAAUGUUUUUUCCUUUUAUUGUUUAAUUUAAAUAAUUUGUCUGACAAUGCAGAUCUAAACAUAAUGACUAAUUUAGACAUACUCCGAUUGUAUAUAAGUUAAAAUAUAGAAAGAAAUGGAAUGUUCUAAAAGUUAAUAAACAUCUCUGAUAGAAUCAAAAUGAAUAGAAUUAUGAAAUGCAGGAAAGUAAAAAAAUGUUAAAAUGAACAUAUUUACACACAUCUGUUUUUUUUUCCAUUAAAGAAACUAAGGUAGUAUGUUUCAUCAAAUACACUUCUAGCGUAUCAAUACUACCACAGUUCAAUUAGCAGUCCAGGAUUUUACAUUAACUUAAACCUUUAAUGAAAUGCCAUAAUUUAACCAAAAAAAAACCAAACUAUACCUUUAUGAAAAUAAAACCUGAAGUACCAAGUCGUACAACAGAGUGCUAUCUAGCCCUUCAAAACUCCAGCCCAUAUUGAUAAUGUAUUUAAUAAUGAAACUAUAAAGGCUUGUUUCCAUUAAACUUGUGCUAUUGUGUGACCUGUAACCCAGAUGGUUAAAAUUUCUAGGACCCCCCCCCCCCCCCCCCCC
Biomphalaria pfeifferi is the source of this 1051-nucleotide non-coding RNA. The record is from the annotation of a GenBank genome assembly. NCBI's taxonomy places the organism in Eukaryota, Metazoa, Mollusca, Gastropoda, Planorbidae.